AGAACGAACGCUGGCGGCAGGCUUAACACAUGCAAGUCGAGCGCCCCGCAAGGGGAGCGGCAGACGGGUGAGUAACGCGUGGGAACAUACCCUCCGGUUCGGAAUAGCUCAGGGAAACUUGGAUUAAUACCGGAUACGGCCUAGCGGCGAAAGAUUCAUCGCCGGAGGAUUGGCCCGCGUUCGAUUAGCUAGUUGGUGAGGUAACGGCUCACCAAGGCGACGAUCGAUAGCUGGUCUGAGAGGAUGAUCAGCCACAUUGGGACUGAGACACGGCCCAAACUCCUACGGGAGGCAGCAGUGGGGAAUUUUGCGCAAUGGGGGAAACCCUGACGCAGCAACGCCGCGUGGAGGAUGAAAUCCCUUGGGAUGUAAACUCCUUUCGAUCGGGAAGAUAAUGACGGUACCGGAAGAAGAAGCCCCGGCUAACUUCGUGCCAGCAGCCGC
This 444-nucleotide ribosomal RNA is filed under the name uncultured bacterium. RNAcentral describes it as "SSU rRNA". It matches the Rfam family "Bacterial small subunit ribosomal RNA", at positions 26 to 518 of the family's 1533-position model. The record is from RNAcentral.